UACGUAGGUGGCAAGCGUUGUCCGGAUUUACUGGGUGUAAAGGGCGUGCAGCCGGGCUGACAAGUCAGAUGUGAAAUCCCGCGGCUCAACCGCGGAACUGCAUUUGAAACUGUCAGUCUUGAGUACCGGAGAGGUCAUCGGAAUUCCUUGUGUAGCGAUGAAAUGCGUAGAUAUAAGGAAGAACACCAGUGGCGAAGGCGGAUGACUGGACGGCAACUGACGGUGAGGCGCGAAAGCGUGGGGAGCAAACAGG
This 253-nucleotide ribosomal RNA is filed under the name uncultured bacterium. Its description in RNAcentral is "partial 16S ribosomal RNA". It matches the Rfam family "Bacterial small subunit ribosomal RNA", at positions 524 to 776 of the family's 1533-position model. The record is from RNAcentral.